UUUCCAUGACGAUAACUUUGUCCAGUUCUGCUACUGAAUGCAAGUGGUGACAGCAAAGACUCUGAGAA
This 68-nucleotide small nucleolar RNA is filed under the name Amphilophus citrinellus (Midas cichlid). The record is from RNAcentral. Lineage: Eukaryota; Metazoa; Chordata; Actinopteri; Cichliformes; Cichlidae.